AUGAAUGCUAGCGACAGGCCUAACACAUGCAAGUCGAGGGGCAGCACAAGGAGCAAUCUGAGGUGGCGACCGGCGCACGGGUGAGUAACACGUAUGCAACCUGCCUGUAAGCGGGGAAUAACCCGUUGAAAGACGGACUAAUACCGCAUAAUACUAAAUUACUGCAUGGUAAUUUAUUUAAACAUUUAUGGCUUACAGAUGGGCAUGCGCAUGAUUAGCUAGUUGGAGAGGUAACGGCUCCCCAAGGCAACGAUCAUUAGGGGUUCUGAGAGGAAGGUCCCCCACACUGGUACUGAGACACGGACCAGACUCCUACGGGAGGCAGCAGUGAGGAAUAUUGGUCAAUGGACGAGAGUCUGAACCAGCCAAGUCGCGUGCAGGAAGAAUGUUCCCUAUGGAUUGUAAACUGCUUUUGCAGGGGAAUAAAGUGCAUCACGUGUGAUGUUUUGUAUGUACUCUGCGAAUAAGGAUCGGCUAACUCCGUGCCAGCCGCCGC
RNAcentral lists this ribosomal RNA (496 nucleotides) under uncultured bacterium. RNAcentral's name for it is "bacterial SSU rRNA". It matches the Rfam family "Bacterial small subunit ribosomal RNA", at positions 29 to 518 of the family's 1533-position model. The record is from RNAcentral.